This 1701-nucleotide long non-coding RNA is filed under the name Setaria viridis. RNAcentral describes it as "long non-coding RNA (SVIR_LNC002139)". The record is from RNAcentral. Lineage: Eukaryota; Viridiplantae; Streptophyta; Magnoliopsida; Poales; Poaceae.
AUACUUUUUACCAUGACUCUUCUAGUUCAUAGCAUCAACAGUGUGAGUUGUGUGGACACUGUCGUGGUAUAAAACCAGUUUAGACCUGUUUUCCCAGUGACCCUGUUUUGGUAACCAUUUGUGCGUGCUUCUGAAAAAGUAUUUUUUCGCUGAAAAAGAGCCAUGUCUGGUUCUGAUAUAUGAUUACUGUCUGCACUGAGAGUAAUCAUUUAAAAAAUUAUCUAGAUAUUUCAAUUCUGUAAAACAUAUAUGACAUGAAGUUUAUAUUUAUAAAAUUCUCAUGUUCUAGACAAUCCAACUCCAACCAUUAGUCGUCUGUCCUAUCCUAUUCAACACUGAUCGACUGCUGUUUCAAUUCAUUUCAGAUAUGGGGAACACUGCAUCUGUGAAAACUGAGGAGCAACCUGCCACAGCUCCUGCACCUGAACCUGCACCUGAGACGAAGCCGAAAAAGAAGAUAUGUUGCGCUUGCCCAGAUACGAAGAAGCUGAGAGAUGACUGCAUCGUGCAGAAUGGCGAGGAUGCCUGCGGAAAGUUCAUCGAAGCCCACCUGCAAUGCCUGAGAGCUGAAGGGUUCAAUGUCUGACGCCUGGCUCUGUCGUGGCAACUUCACACCUGUUUCUGCGAUAGUCCGAUUUUGAUCAUAAACAGUAUGAUGGAUGAGAACUUUUGGUAGAGUGAUAGGAAGAACUCACUGUUUCAUUUCUAGAGUGCAAAAAAGAAUGCCGCUGAACAUGGCAGUUUGCAAGGCAUCCUGCACCAUACAUAUCUGCAAUUCUUGAUUAUACUUUUAUGGAACAUUGUAUAUGAGAAUUGCUUGUUUGGGUCCACUGGCUGGAGAUCCAUCACCACGUAUGGAACAAUUGUUGCCAGUUUUGCUACUAGCUAGAGUUUCCGAUCACAUGUUCCAUUGAUAUAUCAAUGAAGACGAUAUUACACUCUUAUACACCGUUGCAGUUUUGUUGCCAUUGGUAGUUACCUCCAUUGCUCCCAGUUACCUGCACCACACGGUUCGCUGGUGACUCUGCCAUGCAAAAUGCACUUGGUGGCUGGUGCCGGUGCUCUGAUCGUGUGGAUGCCGUUGGUUCUGCACGCAAAUGCCUUUCCUUUUUGUUUCAGGGUUGCGUGGAAUGUAAGCACUAACUUUGUCGCGAAUCUGCAGCCUGCAACUCUCUUUUUGCUGCUCUCCUCUUUUUUGUUUUCCAAAUAAUAUGUGGCAGUGGUAGCGGACUUGAUAAGCAACAGCAACUGGGGGAACACAUAAGUUUUAUUGAUCAGUAGACAGGCUACAAUGGCAGGAUAGAAACCCUACUCGCCCUUCUUGGAGGCUCUGAGUGCUAGGAUCUAUUUCCACCUGCCUAAUCUCCUGCCGUGACCUUAGCUUAUAAGGAGGCCGGCCACAACAAGCUCUCAACUAACAACUAAUCUGAUCUUAUCUCAUCUCUAUCUUAUCUUAUUUUAUCCUGAUCCAACUAACUACUGACCCAGCCACAAAACAGGAUCUUAUCUCAUCUCUAUCUUAUCUUAUUUCUAUCCUGAUCCAACUAACUACUGACCCAGCCACAAAAUAGAGAAAUUAGGCGCCACAUUAGCCACUAGAUGGCGCCUUCUUCCUCCUGUUGUACACCUUCCCAAUGAAAGAGUCCACAACACUUCCCCCCUCCUUUUGAAACAGCUCAUCCUCAAGCUGAAAAUCUGGGU